CCAAGAGUAGAAUUACUUCAGGUUAGAGGGAGUUGGGGGGCCCUGGACCAGCUCUACAGAAUGGAGAGAUGAAAGGGGCUGGAGGGCGGGUAGCAUCUGAUCUGACAGAGAGGGCCAGAGCAAUUAUAUUCAUCCAGGGGCUCCUAUGCCAUGCGGAGGUCUCUGCUGUACUAUUCCUGCCCUGCAGACAUUAAGGGUAGUCUGCUGUUUACCUAGAAGAGUUUAUAUAGACAAUAGUCAAAAGCCUGGGGUCCAGGGAGCCAGUAUUGGGAGGCCAGUGGCCAGCCUGGAGGAAGAAGAGAGUAGGUGGAGAGAGCUGGAGACAUAGUGCUCUUUUCCAAAGGCCACACCUAUGCUCACGAACUUGGGUUAUGCCUCAGGCCUUGGGUGCUGGGGGACAGCCCAACAGGAACGAGAACGUUUCCUAAGCAAAAGAUAAACUCUGAGGGCACUACCUGGUUCCAGGCCCAAGGAAGGCGUGUUUUUAGCCCCCUGUUCCAGCCUCGUACCCUGGCAGUCCUGGUCCAUCUUACUGAGCACAUAUCCGCACGCCUCAUGCUCCCCAGGGCCAGUUUUGUAAGCCCAGAAGUCAAGGCCUAACUUGAACCUGAUGAAUGAAUCAGAUCAAAUACAUGCUGUAUGCUCCCAGGCCUGAUUUCUCCAACUCCUCCAGGCCACAUCCAAGGGGGAGCUGCCGAAAUGUCCAUGCCUCAGUUUCCAUGAGGAAUAGCAUUCAGCAGUUCAGGUCUGUGAUGGACUCUAAGAACAGCGCCAGGGCCAGGCGCGGUGGCUCACACCUGUAAUCACAGCACUUUGGG
Molecule: long non-coding RNA, 818 nt
Filed under: Homo sapiens (human)
Lineage: Eukaryota; Metazoa; Chordata; Mammalia; Primates; Hominidae
Description: LHRI_LNC818.1
Source: RNAcentral